UAAUGAGUGGUUUCUUUGUGAUGAGGGU
Molecule: small RNA, 28 nt
Filed under: Bombyx mori (domestic silkworm)
Lineage: Eukaryota; Metazoa; Arthropoda; Insecta; Lepidoptera; Bombycidae
Description: ovarian small RNA-19731
Source: RNAcentral